AUGCCAUGUUGUGGACAUUUCCUCUGCAGGUCUUUAUAUCUUUCCCAUGUGUCAUAGAAUGAUUCACCUUCAUUUUUUUUUAAGGUGUUGAGCUUAAGUCUCAGUCU
Small nucleolar RNA from Hevea brasiliensis (rubber tree), 107 nucleotides. Lineage: Eukaryota; Viridiplantae; Streptophyta; Magnoliopsida; Malpighiales; Euphorbiaceae. The record is from RefSeq and is a predicted model, not a curated record.